UACGAAGGGGGCGAGCGUUGCUCGGAAUCACUGGGCGUAAAGCGCACGUAGGCGGCUUUCUAAGUCAGGGGUGAAAUCCUGGAGCUCAACUCCAGAACUGCCUUUGAUACUGGAGAGCUUGAGUCCGGAAGAGGUGAGUGGAACUCCGAGUGUAGAGGUGAAAUUCGUAGAUAUUCGGAAGAACACCAGUGGCGAAGGCGGCUCACUGGUCCGGUACUGACGCUGAGGUGCGAAAGCGUGGGGAGCAAACAGG
Molecule: ribosomal RNA, 253 nt
Filed under: uncultured bacterium
Lineage: Bacteria
Description: partial 16S ribosomal RNA
Rfam family: Bacterial small subunit ribosomal RNA
Source: RNAcentral